UACAGGGGGGGCAAGCGUUGUUCGGAAUUACUGGGCGUAAAGGGCUCGUAGGCGGCCAACUAAGUCCGACGUGAAAUCCCCAAGCUUAACUUGGGAACUGCGUCGGAUACUGGAUGGCUUGAAUUCGGGAGAGGGAUGCAGAAUUCCAGGUGUAGCGGUGAAAUGCGCAGAUAUCAGGAAGAACACCAAUGGCGAAGGCAGCUCUCUGGGACGGUACUGACGCUGAGACGCGAAAGCGUGGGGAGCGAACAGG
RNAcentral lists this ribosomal RNA (253 nucleotides) under uncultured bacterium. Its description in RNAcentral is "partial 16S ribosomal RNA". It matches the Rfam family "Bacterial small subunit ribosomal RNA", at positions 524 to 776 of the family's 1533-position model. The record is from RNAcentral.